AGAGGGUUUGAUUAUGGCUCAGAUUGAACGCUGGCGGGAUGCUUCAUACAUGCAAGUCGAAGGGCAGCAUUUGACUUCUGGUCUGGUGGCGAGUGGCGAACGGGUGAGUAAUGUAUCGGAACGUGCCUAGUAGCGGGGAUAAUCACGCGUGAAAGUUGGGAAGCAUUACCGCAUAUUGCCCUUCGGGGGAAAGCGGGGACCUUCGGGGCCUCGCACUAUUAGAGCGGCCGAUAUCGGAUUGAAGAAGGUGGGCAACGGCUCACCAAGGCGACGAUCCGUAGCUGGUUUGAGAUACCAUUUCAGCCACACUGGGACUGGAGACACGGCCCAGAUCCACGGAGGCAGCAGGAAUUUUGACAAUGGGGAAAACCUGAUCCAGCCAUCCCGCGUGUGCGAUGAAGGCCUUCGGCUGUAAAGCACUUUUGGCAGGAAAGAAACGGCAAUGGAUAGCCACCCGUGCAACUGACGGUACCUGCAGAAUAAGCACCGGCUGACGCCAGCCAGCAGCCGCGGUAAUACGUAGGGUGCAAGCGUUAAUCGAAUUACUGGGCGCAAAGCGUGCGCAGGCGGGUUCGGAAAGAAAGAUGUGAAAUCCCAGAGCUUAACUUUUGGAACUGCAUUUAAUCUACUGAGCUAGAGUGUGUGUCAGAGGGAGGUGGAAUUCGCGGAAAAGGAAAUGCGUAGAUAUGGAGGAACACCGAUGGCGAAGGCACUUCCUGAUAACACUGACGCUCGCGACGAAAGCGUGGGAGCAAACAUAUUAGAUACCCCAGUCCACGCUCCAAACGAUGUCAACUAGCUGUUGGGGCCUUCGGGCCUGCAGCGCAGCCAACGCGGUGAAGUUGACCGCCUGGGAGUACGGUCGCAGAUUAAAACUCAAAGGAAUUGACGGGGACUCCGCAACAAGCGGUGAUGAUGGGAUUAAUUCGAUGCAACGCGAAAACCUUACCUACCCUUGAUAUGUCUGAAUCCCGGAAGAGAUUUGGGAGUGCCUGCAAGAGAACCGGAACACAGGUGCUGCAUGGCUGUCGUCAGCUCAAAUGUGAGAUGUUGGGUUAAGUCCCGCAACGAUGCAACCCUUGUCAUUAGUUGCUACGAAAGGGCACUCUAUCGAGACUGCCGGUGACAAACUGGAGGAAGGUGGGGAUGACGUCAAGUCCCUUGGCCUUAUGGGUAGGGUUUCACAUCGUCAUACAAUGGUCGGGACAGAGGGUCGCCAACCCGCGAGGGUGAGCCAAUCCCAGAAACCCGACCGUAGUCCGGACUGCAGUCUGCAACCUGACUCGGUGCAGUCGGAAUCGCUAGUAAUCGCGGAUCAGCAUGUCGCGGUGAAUACGUUCCCGGUCUUGUACACACACCACCCGUCACACCAUGGGAGUGGGUUUUACCAGAAGUAGUUAGCCUAACCGUAAGGAGGGCGAUUACCACGGUAGGAUUCAUGACUGGGGUGAAGUCGUAACAAGGUAG
Molecule: ribosomal RNA, 1467 nt
Filed under: uncultured Bordetella sp.
Lineage: Bacteria; Pseudomonadati; Pseudomonadota; Betaproteobacteria; Burkholderiales; Alcaligenaceae
Description: partial 16S-23S ribosomal RNA intergenic spacer
Rfam family: Bacterial small subunit ribosomal RNA
Source: RNAcentral